RNAcentral lists this ribosomal RNA (383 nucleotides) under uncultured eukaryote. Its description in RNAcentral is "partial 18S ribosomal RNA". It matches the Rfam family "Eukaryotic small subunit ribosomal RNA", at positions 592 to 976 of the family's 1831-position model. The record is from RNAcentral.
CAAUAGCGUAUAUUAAAGUUGUUGCAGUUAAAAAGCUCGUAGUUGGAUUUCUGGUGGGAGCGAUCGGUCUGGCGCUUAGCGCGAGUACUUGCAUCGUCUCCGGCCAUCCUUGGGGAGAGUCUGUCUGGCAUUAGGUUGUCGGGCAGAGGAUCCUCAUCGUUUACUGUGAAAAAAUUAGAGUGUUCAAAGCAGGCUUAUGCCGUUGAAUAUAUUAGCAUGGAAUAAUAAGAUAGGACUUUGGUACUAUUUUGUUGGUUUGCGCACCAAAGUAAUGAUUAAUAGGGACAGUUGGGGGUAUUCGUAUUCCGUUGUCAGAGGUGAAAUUCUUGGAUUUACGGAAGACGAACUACCGCGAAAGCAUUUACCAAGGAUGUUUUCAUUAA